RNAcentral lists this unclassified non-coding RNA (402 nucleotides) under uncultured Chytridiomycota. RNAcentral's name for it is "sequence contains ITS1". The stretch from base 1 to 105 matches the Rfam family "5.8S ribosomal RNA", at positions 50 to 154 of the family's 154-position model. The record is from RNAcentral. Lineage: Eukaryota; Fungi; Chytridiomycota.
GAAAUGCGAUACGUAAUGUGAAUUGCAGAACUCCGUGAAUCAUCAAAUCUUUGAACGCAUAUUGCGCUUCCGGUAAAUGCUGGAAGCAUGCCUGUUUGAGUGUCUGUUCCCCCCACUCCUCUCCCUCGACUGCUGCUCGCUUGAGCAUUGUUUUCAGGGACGAGGGUCUGUGGUCGUCUAGCCGUCCGUAUAUAUACAAAACAACGGCGGCAAGUCGACUCAAGAACAGAGAGCCUUGCACAAGCUUCUCGCCAACUUUCCCACCGUGGUAAUACCAUUACGAUGCGGAAAACAGAGUAACUGCUGCAACCCAAGGCGACGACAAGUACGGAUCGGCGCGCGGCGCUGAAAUCUGAACAACUCUCGGAUCUCAAAUCAGACAAGAGGACCCGCUGAAUUUAA